GCGGACUGGACUGAGAGCUGCCGGCUUCGGCCGCGGGUGGAAUAGCCCGGAGAACCAGGGAAUCGCGGCGCUUUUCGGCCUCCUGCAGCUGCGUUUCAAAGCAGAGCCGACCCUUGGUGGCAUUUUGGAAGGGAGCAAAUACAGUGAUCAAUCUUCUGUAUUUUUUUGUGUUUCUAAAGACAUGGUCACAGCUGCCUGAAGCAUGUCUUCUUCACUUAUGGCAUCACCUGUUGGGAAACAAAACACACUUUUCCUUAACAUUU
This is a long non-coding RNA of Saimiri boliviensis boliviensis (Bolivian squirrel monkey), 263 nucleotides long. RefSeq lists it as uncharacterized. The record is from RefSeq and is a predicted model, not a curated record. NCBI's taxonomy places the organism in Eukaryota, Metazoa, Chordata, Mammalia, Primates, Cebidae.